UGUAUUCAUCUCUCAACUAUUCGCAUUAUAUAUAAUCAUAUAAAUUAACACAAAUAUUUCAAGAAAAACAUUUUUAAAUACGAGCAGUUGUAUAUAUAAAAAAAAAAAAAAAAAAAAAAACUACCGUAAUAAUAGUCACUUCAUCAUAUAAAUAAUUUUACUUUAAAUUUUAAACAUUUCAAAGUCGAAGAUUUAUAAUAUAUGAUUAAAUAUCUCAUUUUACUUUGAAUUAAACAUAUUGUAUAUAAAAAAAAUGGUUGAAAGAGAAAACACAGUUAGUGCAUAUAUCAAGAGGAUGUAUAUUAACACGUUUCAUUAUGUUAAAAAUUAUAUGACAGCAUCCGACCAAGAAAUGCAAAACAAUGCCGACCCAAUAAUGGAUAUAAUUGCUACGGCACCAAGUGAUUCACUAUAUUUUAUUGAACGGAUAAAUCUUAUUUCAGUGAUAAUAAGUAUUGGUACAUCUUUUCCUUACCUAACGUACUUAAUUAUUUAUUGGAACGAUUGUUCGUGUAAUGAUUUAUUACGGUGGUGGAUUGUAAUUAACAGUAUAUUACAACUUAUACAGGCACCUAUACGAUUUUUCUUAUAUUUCAUAUUAAGAAAAUAUAAACUAGAAAACGAAAGGAUGCACAUUCAAGCGUAAGAAAAUAUGCAUAUAUAUAUGUAUAUGUACGUGUACAUGCUUAUAUGUCAAAAUAAGUAGACUCAUAUAUUUCCUAAGUAACAAUUUUUCUAUACUACUUUUCCAUUUUCGCAGUGAGCGAACCAAUCAAAUGUGAAUAGAUAUUUACAUA
RNAcentral lists this long non-coding RNA (797 nucleotides) under Piliocolobus tephrosceles (Ugandan red Colobus). RNAcentral's name for it is "lncRNA (ENSPTEG00000035029.1)". Lineage: Eukaryota; Metazoa; Chordata; Mammalia; Primates; Cercopithecidae. The record is from RNAcentral.